RNAcentral lists this ribosomal RNA (464 nucleotides) under uncultured bacterium. RNAcentral describes it as "partial 16S ribosomal RNA". It matches the Rfam family "Bacterial small subunit ribosomal RNA", at positions 339 to 795 of the family's 1533-position model. The record is from RNAcentral.
CUACGGGCUGCUGCAGUGGGGAAUAUUGCACAAUGGGCGCAAGCCUGAUGCAGCCAUGCCGCGUGUAUGAAGAAGGCCUUCGGGUUGUAAAGUACUUUCAGCGGGGAGGAAGGGAGUAAAGUUAAUACCUUUGCUCAUUGACGUUACCCGCAGAAGAAGCACCGGCUAACUCCGUGCCAGCAGCCGCGGUAAUACGGAGGGUGCAAGCGUUAAUCGGAAUUACUGGGCGUAAAGCGCACGCAGGCGGUUUGUUAAGUCAGAUGUGAAAUCCCCGGGCUCAACCUGGGAACUGCAUCUGAUACCGGCAAGCUUGAGUCUCGUAGAGGGGGGUAGAAUUCCAGGUGUAGCGGUGAAAUGCGUAGAGAUCUGGAGGAAUACCGGUGGCGAAGGCGGCCCCCUGGACGAAGACUGACGCUCAGGUGCGAAAGCGUGGGGAGCAAACAGGAUUAGAUACUCCCGUAGUC